CGUGAGUGGCGGACGGGUGAGUAACGCGUGGGCAACCUGCCCCGUACAGGGGGAUAACAGCCGGAAACGGCUGCUAAUACCGCAUAAGCGCACAGCGCCGCAUGGCGCGGUGUGAAAAGCUCCGGCGGUACGGGAGGGGCCCGCGUCUGAUUAGGCAGUUGGCGGGGCAGCGGCCCACCAAACCGACGAUCAGUAGCCGGCCUGAGAGGGCGGCCGGCCACAUUGGGACUGAGACACGGCCCAAACUCCUACGGGAGGCAGCAG
RNAcentral lists this ribosomal RNA (264 nucleotides) under uncultured bacterium. RNAcentral's name for it is "partial 16S ribosomal RNA". It matches the Rfam family "Bacterial small subunit ribosomal RNA", at positions 90 to 354 of the family's 1533-position model. The record is from RNAcentral.